Molecule: small nucleolar RNA, 299 nt
Organism: Salarias fasciatus (jewelled blenny)
Lineage: Eukaryota; Metazoa; Chordata; Actinopteri; Blenniiformes; Blenniidae
Source: Ensembl
GUCCACUGAUGAGACCAUGGCAAUUUUUAUGAUUGGUCAGACCGAUGGGCUGCAGUCUCUGGUCUGCUGUUUGGUGGGUAAUCUUGGUAAUGCAAUGGAGUUUUAUUGCAGGACUGUAAGGGCCCACGCAUAGUCAAAUCGUCACUUUCUCCAACAUUGUUCCCCUCAAAAGAAAUUGAGUGGGAUUAAUAGGGAGAUGACACACAAUGUGUGAAUGUGUUUGUACCAGCUGGCCAGAGGCUGUGGUCUUUGUCUGGGUUUGACUGGUAUGAAUUACUGUCUUUGGUAACCUGAGGACA